This 90-nucleotide transfer RNA is filed under the name Gammaproteobacteria bacterium. RNAcentral's name for it is "tRNA-Ser". It matches the Rfam family "tRNA". From Rfam's summary of the family: Transfer RNA (tRNA) molecules are approximately 80 nucleotides in length. Their secondary structure includes four short double-helical elements and three loops (D, anti-codon, and T loops). RNAcentral also lists the same sequence under 1 other name. Lineage: Bacteria; Pseudomonadati; Pseudomonadota; Gammaproteobacteria. The record is from RNAcentral.
GGAGAGGUGCCGGAGUGGUUGAACGGGAAUGAUUCGAAAUCAUUUGACGGGGUGACCCGUCCCAGGGUUCGAAUCCCUGCCUCUCUACCA